Heterocephalus glaber (naked mole-rat) is the source of this 183-nucleotide small nuclear RNA. Its record names the gene U1. It matches the Rfam family "U1 spliceosomal RNA". Rfam says of the family: U1 is a small nuclear RNA (snRNA) component of the spliceosome (involved in pre-mRNA splicing). Its 5' end forms complementary base pairs with the 5' splice junction, thus defining the 5' donor site of an intron. There are significant differences in sequence and secondary structure between metazoan and yeast U1 snRNAs, the latter being much longer (568 nucleotides as compared to 164 nucleotides in human). The record is from Ensembl. Lineage: Eukaryota; Metazoa; Chordata; Mammalia; Rodentia; Bathyergidae.
AUACUUACCUGGCAGGGGAGAUACCAUGAUCAUGAAGGUGGUUUUCCCAGGGCGAGGCUUGUCCAUUGCACUGCAGAUGUGCUGACCUCUGCGAUUAAAAAAAAAAAAAAUACAAUGGUACCAGGGUUCACAAAAUUAAUUCUUUUCACAAUUCUGGGGAAGAUGGCCACAUUCUUGUUCAUG